RNAcentral lists this long non-coding RNA (700 nucleotides) under Monodelphis domestica (gray short-tailed opossum). Its description in RNAcentral is "lncRNA (ENSMODG00000049874.1)". The record is from RNAcentral. Lineage: Eukaryota; Metazoa; Chordata; Mammalia; Didelphimorphia; Didelphidae.
CUUUGAAUUCAUCAAACACUAGAUUACUAUAGUCAUUAACUACAAUUAACUAUAGGCAUGUUGAAUGCUUAUUAUUUUCCAUUGAUCCAUUAUUCAUUUUCUUAGCCAGUACCAGAUUGUUCUGAUUGUAAUGAUGGGGAGUAGAACCAAAAAAAACUUUUGGGGGAAAUUGGAAUGUAGGAACAACUGUUGGAAACUGAACAAGGACUUCUGGAAGGGGAGUUCUUGAAGGUGGAUACACAGAAGGGAGUGGAAGGAGGAGCUAUUUCUUGGGGUCAUUUUCAAGACACCUGUGGAGAUGUCUGACACUGAUAAAAAUCUUAACAUCAUGGGUUCCCGUUUAAAACAUCAUUGGUUCCUGUCAACAAAACUUAAUUUCUCUAAAGACUUUCAUUCUAUGAACUAUUGAGAUACUGGACUCAAAUUGGUGGAGAGCCACGUCUGCUCCUAAGUGGAAGUAGGAAAGAGGAGGGACAGCCAAAAGCCUUUCCAAUCAGGUUAAAUACCCCAUCUCAGUCUCGGCCCAGAUCAUCGAUGGCGAGUUUAACACCUCUGAUUGUAGACUAUCCAAGAAAAAAUGAACUACUCUACUGGUUUAAAGCCAAAUAGGAGUGAGGAUAAGAAAGGAACACAAAGCUUGAGUAAAUUUUAAAGAUACUAGAGUUAUUAAAAGGUCAACUGCCAAUCAAAACUCUCAGUA